This 460-nucleotide ribosomal RNA is filed under the name uncultured bacterium. Its description in RNAcentral is "partial 16S ribosomal RNA". It matches the Rfam family "Bacterial small subunit ribosomal RNA", at positions 338 to 795 of the family's 1533-position model. The record is from RNAcentral.
CCUACGGGAGGCAGCAGUGAGGAAUAUUGGUCAAUGGACGAGAGUCUGAACCAGCCAAGUAGCGUGAAGGAUGACUGCCCUAUGGGUUGUAAACUUCUUUUAUAUGGGAAUAAAAUGUUCCACGUGUGGGCUUUUGUAUGUACCAUAUGAAUAAGGAUCGGCUAACUCCGUGCCAGCAGCCGCGGUAAUACGGAGGAUCCGAGCGUUAUCCGGAAUUAUUGGGUUUAAAGGGUGCGUAGGUGGAUUGUUAAGUCAGUUGUGAAAGUUUGCGGCUCAACCGUAAAAUUGCAGUUGAAACUGGCAGUCUUGAGUACAGUAGAGGUAGGCGGAAUUCGUGGUGUAGCGGUGAAAUGCUUAGAUAUCACGAAGAACUCCGAUUGCGAAGGCAGCUCACUGGACUGCAACUGACACUGAGGCUCGAAAGUGUGGGUAUCAAACAGGAUUAGAUACCCCAGUAGUC